RNAcentral lists this ribosomal RNA (467 nucleotides) under uncultured bacterium. Its description in RNAcentral is "partial 16S ribosomal RNA". It matches the Rfam family "Bacterial small subunit ribosomal RNA", at positions 29 to 507 of the family's 1533-position model. The record is from RNAcentral.
ACGAACGCUGGCGGCGUGCUUAACACAUGCAAGUCGAACGGAAAGGCCCUGCUUUUGUGGGGUGCUCGAGUGGCGAACGGGUGAGUAACACGUGAGUAACCUGCCCUUGACUUUGGGAUAACUUCAGGAAACUGGGGCUAAUACCGGAUAGGAGCUCCUGCUGCAUGGUGGGGGUUGGAAAGUUUCGGAGGUUGGGGAUGGACUCGCGGCUUAUCAGCUUGUUGGUGGGGUAGUGGCUUACCAAGGCUUUGACGGGUAGCCGGCCUGAGAGGGUGACCGGCCACAUUGGGACUGAGAUACGGCCCAGACUCCUACGGGAGGCAGCAGUGGGGAAUAUUGCACAAUGGGCGGAAGCCUGAUGCAGCAACGCCGCGUGCGGGAUGACGGCCUUCGGGUUGUAAACCGCUUUCGCCUGUGACGAAGCGUGAGUGACGGUAAUGGGUAAAGAAGCACCGGCUAACUACGUG